GAAAGCUAUAUUUUCUAUAUUUAGCUUGUUGUCUAUCUGUGGUAAAGGAUCAUUGUUGCCCAAAUUGCCACUCGCUGCUAUACUUUUCUGUUUCCUUCUGUACCAGAAUGCCACGGCCAUGCCAAUUACUAUCAGCUUCUAAGUGCUUACGCAUUAUGUGUCUACACAUCUCACUAGGAAGUGAUAAUGGACAGUUUCCUACAGUGCAGUCUGGGAUUUGAGUGCCAUCUCCUAUGUUACUUGACUAACCUGUCAUUAAGGAAAUAGUCCAUCACUGCUUCAAGUUAUAAUGUCCAACAAAAAGGUCCAGGAGCCUUUUCUGGUAUUUUAAGGAGUCCGUGGAAAUCAGAACACUACUCUUAGUAACAAUUAUCCUAUUUCCACUAAAACUGUAAGCAUUGAAAUGUCUUUCCAUCACUUGCGACCUAGAGUUGGUGCUGACUCUGCCAGUUGGGGUUCAUAUCCAUAAAACUUGCCUCGCUUCUCAUGCCAGCUGCAGGUGGAGUCACCAGGCCACGCCUCUGAUGGUUUGGCUAUCAGGUGGGAAAUCCCCACAAUGCCCAUUAAGUGUGAUAAUUUGCUGGAAUGACCAACAGAACCAAGCAAAAUUGUAUCAGUAAUUAUUUUAGUUUUAUAUACACAGUGCCCACAAGGUGAUAGAUACAUGGAUAUAUCUCUGGUAUAUCACAUCUUUACCAGUCAGAGAGCUCUACUGAACCUCAGUGCCAGCAUCUUAUCAAGGUUGGAUUAUAUGGGUGUGACUAGGUGAAUUACCAGCCUUGAGAGUAAACUCAAUCCACAGCUUUCCUUUUUUUGCUAGAGGCUAGCACCAAGUGCCAAGCUCCAACCCAGAAAUUCCACAUUGCUAGUCUUUCUGAAGCCCCCACUGUAAAGCUUUGUGGGGGCCUGUGACUUGCCUCUGUAGUAUAAUGAGCACAGUCCCUAUCACAGGAUAUUUGAAAAACUGCAACAGGGUGUCGGAAAGACUCCUACGACAAAGACAAGAGGAGUCCUCCAGCAUUCACCUUACCCCAAGGCAGCAGGUGCAAAUUUGAAAGCCUGCCUUCCUGCCUCUGACUGGGAAUGGUUUCACUCUCUGAGCAGCGUUUUUGGUGGGUAACAUGAGAAGGAGGAUAACAUCAUUUCAUUACUAGCCUGUGAGAACAUUUUUAUAACCUACAGAUAAAGGUGAGGUGUGUGCAGAGCCGGGGCUAUAAAAUAAGAAAAACAGCUUUGGGUUGUUGGGAAGAAGCCAGACACCUCUGGCCCCAGGGGCCAUGACCCACCAUGCUACAUGAAUUUGUGUUGUUCUAUAGUUUAGUGACUGCAGGAAGCCGCAGUGAAGCCAACUCUGAAGGUGAACCUGCUGAAUUAGACAGAAUGAUUCUCAAGACCAGAGGCUUGCUGCAUUAUAUGAAAAUUCCUCUCCUUGAAAAAGAGAUGGGAAGCCUUUGCUGUCGAGGGAAAUGAUGGCUGGCACAGCAGGGAGGGAAAAUAAUGAGAAGAUAUCUGGGAACACUUGGAAGAGAAGGUCCUGCCGGGUACCCAUGGCCCUGAGGUUGUUUGUUCUUCCCUGCUGGAUGUGCUAGGCAGAAGAAAUCUGAAGAUCCUCAGAGCUGCACAAAAGGAGUAAGAAUCCCAAGGGUCUCUGAGUGCCCAGCACACCUGUAUACCUGUCCCACCCAACAGUUCAAGCUCAAUGGAGGUGACAGCUCACGGUCUCAGCAAUCUCUGACCAGACCCCUGGACUCUGGUGCAGGGAGACUUUCUCCAGGAUAAGUCGCAGCGAGGCCACUGACUGCCAGCCUUCUUGAUCACUUUGUUCUUCAGCAAAGCCCAGUGCAAAAUUGUCAACCCUUUCUUCACACUCUUCCAUCUUUCUAGGGCCAAACUGUACCUUGACUUUGGAAUUCUUCCCUAAAGAGAAACACAGGGGACAGCAGGAGGCAGAACAGGCUUACAGCAGUUGUGUGGAGGCAGCAAGCUUGAGAGGUGCAGGGCAAGCCUCAGGUGUCAUUUCCUAUCACAGAGCCAUCUCCGCCCUCCCCCUUUACUAUGAAGCACUUGGUUCUGGGGAGCAGUGUGGAAUGCACAUGGUGGUUGACACUGCUGAGACCUAGCUUCUACCAAGUGGCCAGGUUAGGAUCAAUGGCAGCGCUGGACCAGACCUCCAGCUCCUGCAAAGCCUCAGGGCAUCCUAGUGCCUAUUUUAAUGCAUCCCACAGGCUGGGUAAGUUCCAGGCACAUAGUCCACACUGCAGCUGUUCCCUAUCCCCUGAAGGGGGUUCUUGGAAUUUUUAUCAUAAUAAACUUCAGAUUUGAUAAGAGGCCUAAUAAAUCCAUGUCCCCUCCCAGUG
This is a long non-coding RNA of Mesocricetus auratus (golden hamster), 2357 nucleotides long. RefSeq lists it as uncharacterized. The record is from RefSeq and is a predicted model, not a curated record. The transcript has 3 exons. NCBI's taxonomy places the organism in Eukaryota, Metazoa, Chordata, Mammalia, Rodentia, Cricetidae.